RNAcentral lists this ribosomal RNA (466 nucleotides) under uncultured soil bacterium. Its description in RNAcentral is "bacterial SSU rRNA". It matches the Rfam family "Bacterial small subunit ribosomal RNA", at positions 26 to 518 of the family's 1533-position model. The record is from RNAcentral.
AGGACGAACGCUGGCGGCGUGCUUAACACAUGCAAGUCGAGCGGUAAGGCCUUUCGGGGUACACGAGCGGCGAACGGGUGAGUAACACGUGGGUGAUCUGCCCUGCACUCUGGGAUAAGCCUGGGAAACUGGGUCUAAUACCGGAUAUGACCUGCUCUCGCAUGGGGGUGGGUGGAAAGAUUUAUCGGUGCAGGAUGGGCCCGCGGCCUAUCAGCUUGUUGGUGGGUAACGCCUACCAAGGCGACGACGGGUAGCCGACCUGAGAGGGUGACCGGCCACGACUGGGACUGAGACACGGCCCAGACUCCUACGGGAGGCAGCAGUGGGAAUAUGCACAAUGGGCAAAGCCUGAUGCAGCGACGCCGCGUGAGGAUGAAGGCCUUCGGGUUGUAAACCUCUUUCAGCAGGACGAAGCGCAAGUGACGGUACCUGCAGAGAGCACGGCUAACUACGUGCCAGCAGCCGC